GGAUGUGAGGGCGAUCUGACUGCGACUUCUGUCACCCCAUUGAUCGUUAGGGUUGAGUCCACUGAUCUGGCUGGCUAGGCGGGUGUCCCCUUCCUCCCUCACUGCUCCAUAUAUGCUCCCUCCUGAAGAGGCAAACCUUCUGGGAUAGAAGGAAGAACUGUCCUUCACUCGAAGUUCUACGAAGUAGCUGUGCUCCCCUGCUACAACCCUCCCAAACAAACUCUCCAAAAUCCCCCAGUACAGGAGAAGGCAGGACACUCUAAUGGUUUUAG
This 272-nucleotide small nuclear RNA is filed under the name Echinops telfairi (small Madagascar hedgehog). RNAcentral describes it as "7SK RNA (ENSETEG00000024135.1)". It matches the Rfam family "7SK RNA", at positions 1 to 287 of the family's 331-position model. Rfam says of the family: 7SK was discovered as an abundant small nuclear RNA in the mid-70s but a possible function has only recently been suggested. Two independent studies have found that 7SK RNA binds the CDK9/cyclin T complex (known as elongation factor P-TEFb). The record is from RNAcentral. Lineage: Eukaryota; Metazoa; Chordata; Mammalia; Afrosoricida; Tenrecidae.